This 253-nucleotide ribosomal RNA is filed under the name uncultured bacterium. Its description in RNAcentral is "partial 16S ribosomal RNA". It matches the Rfam family "Bacterial small subunit ribosomal RNA", at positions 524 to 776 of the family's 1533-position model. The record is from RNAcentral.
AACGUAGGAGACAAACGUUAUCCGGAGUUACUGGGCGUAAAGGGCGUGUAGGUGGUUUCGUAAGUCUGGCGUGAAAUAUCUCGGCUUAACCGAGGCAGGUCGUCAGAUACUGCGAGACUCGAGGACGGUAGAGGCGUGUGGAAUUCCGGGUGUAGCGGUGAAAUGCGUAGAGAUCGGGAGGAACACCCGUGGCGAAGGCGGCUCUCUGGUCGGCAUCUGACGCUGAGACGCGAAAGCGUGGGGAGCGAACGGG